This 58-nucleotide transfer RNA is filed under the name Acinetobacter sp. 1294596. RNAcentral describes it as "partial tRNA-Ile". It matches the Rfam family "tRNA", at positions 1 to 55 of the family's 71-position model. From Rfam's summary of the family: Transfer RNA (tRNA) molecules are approximately 80 nucleotides in length. The record is from RNAcentral. Lineage: Bacteria; Pseudomonadati; Pseudomonadota; Gammaproteobacteria; Moraxellales; Moraxellaceae.
GGGUCUGUAGCUCAGUUGGUUAGAGCACACGCUUGAUAAGCGUGGGGUCACAAGUUCA